This is a non-coding RNA of Paramuricea clavata, 73 nucleotides long. The record is from the annotation of a GenBank genome assembly. Lineage: Eukaryota; Metazoa; Cnidaria; Anthozoa; Malacalcyonacea; Plexauridae.
GCCUCUGUAGCUCAGUUGGUUAGAGCGCUGCACUGGAAUCGCAGGGUCGUAGGUUCAAUUCCUACCAGAGGAC